CUAUAAUUAUUCCUUUGACAUGAUAUGCACCAUUUUUUGCUGUGUCACUGAAAAUAAAAUGUGAACCUUAUAUUCUUUAAGUCACAUUUGCUUAAAUAUCAUAAUCACUUAUUUCCUAGGUAAUUUGAACUGUGAAAUCUGUACGACAACACGGGGUACACUAGUUGGUUUUGUUCUGGGUGGUCUGUACCCCAUCCUUUUGGCUAUACCCGUGAAUGGGGGCCUUGCUGCCAGGUAUGAAUCAAGUCCUCUACCACAGAGGGGAAACAUCUUCAAUUACUGGAUUACUAUUUCUAAGCCUGUCUUUAGAAAAAUGUUAUUUCCUACUUUACUUCAGACUGCUUUUGCAGCAUAUCUUGGGUCUAGACAAUAUAAACUCCUCAUAAAGGCCCUUCAGUUACCUGAACCUGAUUUAGAAAUUCAAUGAUUUGAAGCAAACAUGUACAAAAAUAAAAUGUUGAAAAUU
Molecule: long non-coding RNA, 466 nt
Filed under: Rattus norvegicus (Norway rat)
Lineage: Eukaryota; Metazoa; Chordata; Mammalia; Rodentia; Muridae
Description: long non-coding RNA NONRATT000947
Source: RNAcentral